AAAUUGAAUUGACAAUAAAAUACCAAUUAAACAUUUUUCCCCUUACAUUUUCCCUUCAGUUCACAACACAACACCAAAAGGCGACAUUUCUAAUUUGGAGGACAUAUAUAAGUACAAUAUUGUUACUCCUUUGUAGUCCGAGGACGAACAAAAUAAACGUCUUCAGAGACGGCAAAAAAAAAAACCCAGCAAAUGUCAUUGCAUGCUCUAUAAUUUACCUGUAAUUUCAUCUUUUCAGGACUUCGGCAUCCUAAAAUGAUGGGAGGUUUCACAGCAUCUCAUCAGCUGGACCUCACCGUAAACAAUAUUUAACUAACAAAAGCGCAUUAUUCUUGGGGAUCAGCAUCAACCAUGCAUAAGAUCCA
This 365-nucleotide unclassified non-coding RNA is filed under the name Hevea brasiliensis (rubber tree). The record is from RNAcentral. Lineage: Eukaryota; Viridiplantae; Streptophyta; Magnoliopsida; Malpighiales; Euphorbiaceae.